AGAUUGAACGCUGGCGGCAGGCCUAACACAUGCAAGUCGAGCGGCAGCACGGGUACUUGUACCUGGUGGCGAGCGGCGGACGGGUGAGUAAUGCCUAGGAAUCUGCCUGGUAGUGGGGGAUAACGCUCGGAAACGGACGCUAAUACCGCAUACGUCCUACGGGAGAAAGCAGGGGACCUUCGGGCCUUGCGCUAUCAGAUGAGCCUAGGUCGGAUUAGCUAGUUGGUGAGGUAAUGGCUCACCAAGGCGACGAUCCGUAACUGGUCUGAGAGGAUGAUCAGUCACACUGGAACUGAGACACGGUCCAGACCUCCGUACGGGAGGCAGCGAAGGUGGGAAUUAGUGAACGAAGUGGGGAC
This 359-nucleotide ribosomal RNA is filed under the name uncultured soil bacterium. RNAcentral describes it as "bacterial SSU rRNA". It matches the Rfam family "Bacterial small subunit ribosomal RNA", at positions 26 to 380 of the family's 1533-position model. The record is from RNAcentral.